CUAAGACAUGCAAGUCGAACGAAGUGGCCCAUUGAAGAUUGCGUGCUUGCACAAAAUUGGAUUUGGAUUCCCACUUAGUGGCAGACGGGUGAGUAACACGUGGGUAAUCUACCCUAGGGACUGGGAUAACGUUUGGAAACGGACGCUAAUACCGGAUGAUACAUAACUAGAUAACUAGAUAUGUUAAAAGGAGCUUCGGCUUCACCUUAGGAUGAGCUUGCGGUGUAUUAGCUAGUUGGUGAGGUAAUGGCUUACCAAGGCGACGAUGCAUAGCCGAGCUGAGAGGCUGAUCGGCCACAUUGGAACUGAGAUACGGUCCAAACUCCUACGGGAGGCAGCAGUUAGGAAUAUUCGUCAAUGGGGGAAACCCUGAACGAGCAAUGCCGCGUGAGUGAUGACGGUCUUAAUGAUUGUAAAACUCUGUUGUAAAGGAAGAACAGCUAUCAUAGGUAAUGAUGAUAGUGUGACGGUACUUUACCAGAAAGCCCCGGCUAACUACGUG
Molecule: ribosomal RNA, 502 nt
Filed under: uncultured bacterium
Lineage: Bacteria
Description: bacterial SSU rRNA
Rfam family: Bacterial small subunit ribosomal RNA
Source: RNAcentral